UACGGAGGGGGCUAGCGUUGUUCGGAAUUACUGGGCGUAAAGCGCACGUAGGCGGGUUUGCAAGUCGGGGGUGAAAUCCCCGGGCUCAACCCCGGAACUGCCUUCUAGACUGGAAGCCUGGAGGUCAGGAGAGGGGAGUGGAAUUCCGAGUGUAGAGGUGAAAUUCGUAGAUAUUGGGAGGAACACCGGUGGCGAAGGCGGCGCGCUGGGCUGGUACUGACGCUGAGGUGCGAAAGCGUGGGGAGCAAACAGG
This 253-nucleotide ribosomal RNA is filed under the name uncultured bacterium. Its description in RNAcentral is "partial 16S ribosomal RNA". It matches the Rfam family "Bacterial small subunit ribosomal RNA", at positions 524 to 776 of the family's 1533-position model. The record is from RNAcentral.